AAAUAAAAUCAACACACCGAGAUUUAACGUGGGAAAACUCCAACUCGGAGUAAAAAAUCUGCGGGACCAAUCGCACGAAAAAUAAUCCACUAUGAAAAUCGAGUACAAGUGAUUUACCGAAAAUCUACAGCUCAAUUUACCGAAUCCUCGUUAUAGAUCGUCUUCGCCGGUCCUCGAUCGAUCAAAAUCCUUCAACCGAUCAUGCUGCAAAUCCUCGCAGCAAACACGCCUUGAAUC
This 237-nucleotide long non-coding RNA is filed under the name Ananas comosus (pineapple). Its description in RNAcentral is "long non-coding RNA (ACOM_LNC022065)". Lineage: Eukaryota; Viridiplantae; Streptophyta; Magnoliopsida; Poales; Bromeliaceae. The record is from RNAcentral.